UUUUAUGGAGAGUUUGAUCCUGGCUCAGGAUGAACGCUGGCGGCGUGCCUAAUACAUGCAAGUCGAGCGAACGGACGAGAAGCUUGCUUCUCUGAUGUUAGCGGCGGACGGGUGAGUAACACGUGGAUAACCUACCUAUAAGACUGGGAUAACUUCGGGAAACCGGAGCUAAUACCGGAUAAUAUUUUGAACCGCAUGGUUCAAAAGUGAAAGACGGUCUUGCUGUCACUUAUAGAUGGAUCCGCGCUGCAUUAGCUAGUUGGUAAGGUAACGGCUUACCAAGGCAACGAUGCAUAGCCGACCUGAGAGGGUGAUCGGCCACACUGGGACUGAGACACGGUCCAGUCUCCUUCGGGUUGCAGCUGUAGGGUAUCUUCCGCUAUG
Molecule: ribosomal RNA, 384 nt
Filed under: Staphylococcus aureus
Lineage: Bacteria; Bacillati; Bacillota; Bacilli; Caryophanales; Staphylococcaceae
Description: bacterial SSU rRNA
Rfam family: Bacterial small subunit ribosomal RNA
Source: RNAcentral